This 351-nucleotide ribosomal RNA is filed under the name uncultured bacterium. Its description in RNAcentral is "bacterial SSU rRNA". It matches the Rfam family "Bacterial small subunit ribosomal RNA", at positions 8 to 350 of the family's 1533-position model. The record is from RNAcentral.
AGAGUUUGAUCCUGGCUCAGGAUGAACGCUAGCUACAGGCUUAACACAUGCAAGUCGAGGGGCAGCAUGUUGGUUGCUUGCAACCAACGAUGGCGACCGGCGCACGGGUGAGUAACGCGUAUCCAACCUACCCUUGUCCAUCGGAUAACCCGUCGAAAGGCGGCCUAACACGAUAUGCGGUUCACAGCAGGCAUCUAACGUGAACGAAAUGUAAAGGAGAAGGAUGGGGAUGCGUCUGAUUAGCUUGUUGGCGGGGUAACGGCCGACCAAGGCGACGAUCAGUAGGGGUUCUGAGAGGAAGGUCCCCCANACUUGGAACUGAGACACGGUCCAAACGUCCUACGGGAGCGA